This 253-nucleotide ribosomal RNA is filed under the name uncultured bacterium. Its description in RNAcentral is "partial 16S ribosomal RNA". It matches the Rfam family "Bacterial small subunit ribosomal RNA", at positions 524 to 776 of the family's 1533-position model. The record is from RNAcentral.
UACAGAGGUUUCAAGCGUUGUUCGGAUUCAUUGGGCGUAAAGGGUGCGUAGGUGGUGAUGCAAGUCUGGUGUGAAAUCUCGGAGCUUAACUCCGAAAUUGCACCGGAUACUGCGUUGCUCGAGGACUGUAGAGGAGAUCGGAAUUCACGGUGUAGCAGUGAAAUGCGUAGAUAUCGUGAGGAAGACCAGUUGCGAAGGCGGAUCUCUGGGCAGUUCCUGACACUGAGGCACGAAGGCCAGGGGAGCAAACGGG